UUUUUUUGUUUUUUCCCCUUUCAGUUUCUUCUUCCUCUCCUCACCCCCGACUUUCUCUACAUCAUUCCCAGAUUCCCUCCCCCGUUUUUCCCUCCCUGAUCUCACCACUAUCACAUCUCGGCAGUUUCAUUUUAUUUCUUCCUCACAUAUUUUUUCCCCUCUCGUCGGACCCUCGCACUUCCUUCCUCUCCUACAGAUUUCGUGUGUUGCAGUUCGUGGGUUUCUUGAGUCUCAAUGACGCCGGCAACCUCUCGUCGGACUCUUGUGGACGACGAUCACUGCGCCGUGGCACAAAUUAGACCAGAUUAGAUACCAAUUGUUGGGUGAUUUUCUCACAAUCAGAUUUGUUGCCUCGCUUAGUAUUGCCAUCAUGCUUGGUGGAAAGAGACAUUUUUUUCAUCCAUGUUUGAAGGGCUACAAGAUGAUUUGGGUGAUACGCUUUGUGAUGAUCAGGUUCGGCAAGAUUGGCUGGUUGUGGGAAGUUGAGUACCUAAGGGUAUUUUCAUUAGUUGAGAGUUAUCUUAUAAAUAGUUUGAUUUUAGAGUGUAAAAUUUGAUGUAUGGAGACUUUCGAAUUUCUGAUUUUUUAUGUUUUGAUUAAUUAAGGAAUACCUUGUAGAGGAAUUUAUGUGGUUGAACUUAAUGGAUAAGUUUAUGUUUUGUGUGGGACUAGGUAGAUAUGUGAUUUGCAUUGUAAGAGAUAGAUUAAAUUUUAUAUUUAUGGAAUAUUUAGAAAUAUCACUUGUAUUGUGAAGAUAUGAUUUUAAUAAGAAGUAACUCUUCGACCGACCUGGGACCGGGGCAUGACAGUUAGUAUCAAAGCCAAGUUUGAGGUUUUGCAGACUAUAGUACUUGAGAUUUUGGAUUAUAGAUAGACUAUAAGAAAUAAUAUUGUUGGUAUUGGAGGUUUUAGAAUUUGCAGACUUUUGAGAUAGAUCAUUACUACUAUUGCGCAUACAAUUUUCUAUUUAUUAUAGAUACCUUUAUAACUCUGAAAUAUUAUAAAUAUGUUUGUUUUUCAGGUGCCAUUAUUUAUUUAUGUUUAUAUGAACUCUAUAUUUUUGAAAUGAUUAUUAAAGGUCUUUAAGUUUUUUAUGAUGUCACAUUGUCAUCGGGAACGAAGUAUAUCGGAUCUGAACGCAACCGAUAACAAAAGAGAAGUAAAUCCGAGUGCUUUCUAAGUAUUUCGAGCAGUGGCGCAUCAAUUAAUAGAUGAUUUCGAGUCACCAACACAACAAUAAUGAAGAAGGCUAUAUCGUGUAGCAAUUCAACCGGAUGCAACCUCCUUCAUUUGAUGGGAGAGGCAAGCCAACCCUAUCGGAUGAUUGGGUUCAAGAUAUUGAGGAGAUACUACGGAUCUUGACUUUUACAGAUGAAUAGAAGGUGGCGUACGCCACAUUCAAGCUGACCGAGGAGGCGAAAAGAUGGUGGAUUUCUGAAAGAACUAUCAGAGAAGCUGAAGGGACGAAAAUAGUCAGUUGGUUGCAUUUCAAGCAGAUUUUUUGGGAGCGCUUCCUCCCAAGCUCGGUCAAAGACGUCAAGGCUAUGGAAUUUGCUACUUUGGUGCAGGGUGCAAUGACAGUACACCAGUAUGCAGUCAGAUUUACCUAGUUGUCACGUUUUGCUAUGUACCUAAUCCCUGAUGAGGAGAAGAAUGCGUAUAAGUUCGAACAUGAGCUAAACGAAAAACUUUAUGAGCAAGUGAUGGGCUUUCAGACUUGAAAAUUUUCAGAGUUGGUGAAUAAGGCCACAAUUUUUUAACGAAGCUUUCAAAGAAGCACUGCACUGCAUGAUCAGAGGAAGAUGACUACUCCAUCUGGGUAUCAUUCUGGCAUGGACCAAAGACCGUGGAAAAAGAGAAACGAAGGUAGUAGCUCGGGUAAGAGGCAGUUCAAGGUAACUAACAACCCUAUAUGUGUAGGACAUGCAACCAAGUGCAUUUUGAGGAGUGCAGAAAAGGGGUAAGAUUAUGUUUCCAUUGCGGCAAAUCAGGCCCAGUGUAUCACCUUAAGGAGCUCCAGUUCUUUUUGUGAAGAAGAAUGAUGGAUCGAUGAAAAUCUAUAUUGGUUUGCCGCAAUGGAAACAUAAUAUUGCCCAUUUUCUGCACUCCUCGGAAUGCAUUUGGUUGCAUGUCCUACACAUAUAAGGCUAUUGAUUAUCUUGAACCGGCCUCUUACCCGAGCUACUACCUUCAUUCCUCUUUUUCCACGGUCCUUGGUCCAUG
RNA transcript from Juglans regia (Persian walnut), 2223 nucleotides. It is a transcript of the gene named cysteine proteinase inhibitor-like, with no coding region annotated. The transcript has 4 exons. Lineage: Eukaryota; Viridiplantae; Streptophyta; Magnoliopsida; Fagales; Juglandaceae. The record is from RefSeq and is a predicted model, not a curated record.